RNAcentral lists this non-coding RNA (30 nucleotides) under Homo sapiens (human). The record is from RNAcentral. Lineage: Eukaryota; Metazoa; Chordata; Mammalia; Primates; Hominidae.
UGAGGGUCUGUGUUGCCUUCGAACCUGUGC